RNAcentral lists this ribosomal RNA (253 nucleotides) under uncultured bacterium. Its description in RNAcentral is "partial 16S ribosomal RNA". It matches the Rfam family "Bacterial small subunit ribosomal RNA", at positions 524 to 776 of the family's 1533-position model. The record is from RNAcentral.
UACAGAGGUCCCAAGCGUUGUUCGGAUUCAUUGGGCGUAAAGGGUGCGCAGGCGGCGCGGUAAGUCGGGUGUGAAAUCUCGGAGCUUAACUCCGAAACUGCAUUCGAUACUGCCGUGCUUGAGGACUGGAGAGGAGACUGGAAUUUACGGUGUAGCGGUGAAAUGCGUAGAUAUCGUAAGGAAGACCAGUGGCGAAGGCGGGUCUCUGGACAGUUCCUGACGCUGAGGCACGAAGGCCAGGGGAGCAAACGGG